GGCUGGCGCCGAUUGCCAAAAGGGGCGGAGCGAAAAAAAAAUCGAAUCUGGGGCGGAUUGACAGACGUCAGUGGAGGGGGCGUGGCCUACAGCAUGGCGGCAGCCGCAGCCUCCGUAACCCUAGGCCGCCGCGAGCUCCGUUCCGCAGCGGCUGCUUCUUCUGGCCGGCUUCGGGACUGGCGCGCCCGCGGGAGGCUGCUCUGCCCGGUGAGCUGCGGAGGGAGGGCGCCGGCAAUGGCCGCGGCGGCCGCUUCGAGCCGGCACGGUGCAGGGGAAGAGGAGCGCUACUGCGUGGAGUUGCUGCGGAAACAUGACUAUGAGGGAUUCCUCUGUUCAUUGCUCUUACCUGCAGAAUCCCGACCGUCUGCAUUUGCCCUGAGAGCCUUCAAUGCAGAACUGGCUCAGAUUAAGGACUCUGUAACUCAGAAGACUAUUGGCUUGAUGCGAAUACAGUUUUGGAGAACAGCUGUGGAAGACAUGUACCAUGACAAUCCACCGCAGCAGCCUGUUGCUAUAGAACUGUGGAAGGCAAUUAAGAGGCAAAACUUAACCAAAAGAUGGCUUAUGAAGAUUAUUGAUGAAAGGGAGAAAAAUCUGGAUGAAAGAGCAUAUCGGGAUAUCAAGGAACUUGAAGCAUAUGCUGAAAACACUCAGAGUGCUCUCCUUUAUCUCACUUUGGAAACACUCGGUGUGAAGGAUAUCCAUGCAGACCACGCGGCCAGCCACAUUGGGAAGGCACAAGGCAUUGUAACCUGCUUAAGAGCAACUCCCUACCAUGCGAGCAAGAGGAAGGUGUUUCUGCCAAUGGACAUAUGUAUGCUGCAUGGUGUUUCACAAGAGGAUUUCAUAAGAUGCAGUCAGGCGAAAAAUGUAAAAGAUGUUGUAUAUGACCUUGCCAGUCAGGCACAUGUUCAUCUGGAACACAAUGAACAGACAGCUAGGAGAAGACUGGUGCUCUUUCCACUUUGAAGGAAUGGCUGUGUUAGAGUUAGAAAGGGGCAGAAGCAAAUUCCCCAGUUCCCCGCUCUUCUAGUUGUUUGGCAAGGUCCUUCAAGAAGAAUGUUCCCAUUAAAGCAUUUCCUGCCUUUCUCUACACAGCAGCUCUUGAGGACUACUUAAAUAAAAUACAAAAGGUUGACUUCAAUAUAUUUAAUCCAAGCUUGCAUCGGAAGAACACCUUACUACCUCUGUAUUUGUAUAUUAGAUCCUGGAAAAAGACUUAUUAAAGAGUGUGUUAAUUUAG
This is an RNA transcript of Hemicordylus capensis (graceful crag lizard), 1243 nucleotides long. It is a transcript of the gene named NADH:ubiquinone oxidoreductase complex assembly factor 6, with no coding region annotated. Lineage: Eukaryota; Metazoa; Chordata; Lepidosauria; Squamata; Cordylidae. The transcript is spliced from 10 exons. The record is from RefSeq and is a predicted model, not a curated record.